Molecule: ribosomal RNA, 494 nt
Filed under: uncultured bacterium
Lineage: Bacteria
Description: partial 16S ribosomal RNA
Rfam family: Bacterial small subunit ribosomal RNA
Source: RNAcentral
GGCGAACGCUGGCGGCGUGCUUAACACAUGCAAGUCGAACGGAAAGGCCUGCUUUCCCUUGUGGAUUGCGGGUACUCGAGUGGCGAACGGGUGAGUAACACGUGAGUGAUCUGCCCCCAACUUGGGUAUAAGCCUGGGAAACUGGGUCUAAUUCCCGGUAGGACUGCAGGGUGGUGCCUGUGGUGGAAAACGAUUUUCUAGUGGUUGGGGAUGAGCUCGCGGCCUAUCAGCUUGUUGGUGGGGUAAUGGCCUACCAAGGCGGCGACGGGUAGCCGGCCUGAGAGGGUGGACGGCCACAUUGGGACUGAGAUACGGCCCAGACUCCUACGGGAGGCAGCAGUGGGGAAUAUUGCACAAUGGGCGGAAGCCUGAUGCAGCGACGCCGCGUGGGGGAUGACGGCCUUCGGGUUGUAAACUCCUUUCGACCGCGAGGAAGCCACCUGGUUGGAAGGGUGGUGACGGUAGUGGUAGAAGAAGCACCGGCUAACUACGUG